UGGCAAGUAAAGUAUAUUGAUUCGUGGUUAGAGUGUCCGCCUCGCAUGCGGGAGGUCAUGGGUUCGAACCCCGGCGAGUCAA
Potamilus streckersoni is the source of this 82-nucleotide non-coding RNA. Lineage: Eukaryota; Metazoa; Mollusca; Bivalvia; Unionida; Unionidae. The record is from the annotation of a GenBank genome assembly.